UACGUAGGGUGCAAGCGUUAAUCGGAAUUACUGGGCGUAAAGGGCGCGCAGGCGGCCAUUCAAGUCAGGCGUGAAAGCCCCGGGCUCAACCUGGGAAUUGCGCUUGGGACUGGGUGGCUGGAGUUCGGGAGAGGAGCGUGGAAUUCCCAGUGUAGAGGUGAAAUUCGUAGAUAUUGGGAAGAACACCGGUGGCGAAGGCGGCGCUCUGGACCGAGACUGACGCUGAGGCGCGAAAGCGUGGGGAGCAAACAGG
Molecule: ribosomal RNA, 253 nt
Filed under: uncultured prokaryote
Description: partial 16S ribosomal RNA
Rfam family: Bacterial small subunit ribosomal RNA
Source: RNAcentral